GUGAACGCUGGCGGUAGGCCUAACACAUGCCAGUCGAACGGCAGCACCGUAAGAGCUUGCUCUUACGGGUGGCGAGUGGCGGACGGGUGAGGAAUACAUCGGAAUCUACUUUUUCGUGGGGGAUAACGUAGGGAAACUUACGCUAAUACCGCAUACGACCUACGGGUGAAAGCAGGGGAUCUUCGGACCUUGCGCGAUUGAAUGAGCCGAUGUCGGAUUAGCUAGUUGGCGGGGUAAAGGCCCACCAAGGCGACGAUCCGUAGCUGGUCUGAGAGGAUGAUCAGCCACACUGGAACUGAGACACGGUCCAGACUCCUACGGGAGGCAGCAGUGGGGAAUAUUGGACAAUGGGCGCAAGCCUGAUCCAGCCAUACCGCGUGGGUGAAGAAGGCCUUCGGGUUGUAAAGCCCUUUUGUUGGGAAAGAAAAGCAGCAGGUUAAUACCCCGCUGUCCUGACGGUACCCAAAGAAUAAGCACCGGCUAACUUCGUG
RNAcentral lists this ribosomal RNA (491 nucleotides) under uncultured bacterium. RNAcentral describes it as "partial 16S ribosomal RNA". It matches the Rfam family "Bacterial small subunit ribosomal RNA", at positions 29 to 507 of the family's 1533-position model. The record is from RNAcentral.